AACGAACGCUGGCGGCAUGCCUAACACAUGCAAGUCGAACGAAACCUGCGGGUUUAGUGGCGCACGGGUGCGUAACGCGGGGGAACCUGCCCUUAGGUUCGGAAUAACUCCCCGAAAGGGGUGCUAAUACCGGAUAAUGUCUUCGGACCAAAGAUUUAUCGCCGUUGGAUGGGCGCGCGUUGGAUUAGCUAGUUGGUAGGGUAAAAGCCUACCAAGGCGACGAUGCAUAGCUGGUCUGAGAGGAUGAUCAGCGACACUGGGACUGAGACACGGCACAGACUCCUACGGGAGGGAGCAGUGGGGGAUAUAGGACAGUGGGCGGAAGCAUGAUCCAGCAAGGCCGGGAAAGUGAUGAAGGCCUUAGGGUUGUAAAGCUCGUUUACCCGGGAUGAUAAUGACAGUACCGGGAGAAUAAGCACCGGCUAACUCCGUG
RNAcentral lists this ribosomal RNA (433 nucleotides) under uncultured bacterium. RNAcentral's name for it is "partial 16S ribosomal RNA". It matches the Rfam family "Bacterial small subunit ribosomal RNA", at positions 29 to 507 of the family's 1533-position model. The record is from RNAcentral.